GUGCCAGCAGCCGCGGUAAGACAGAGGAGGCGAGCGUUGUUCGGAAUCACUGGGCUUAAAGCGCGUGUAGGCGGAUCGGCAAGUGCCCCGUGAAAGCCCCCGGCUCAACCGGGGAAUUGCGGGGCAGACUGCCAGUCUUGAGGCAGGCAGGGGUGCGUGGAACUCUCGGUGGAGCGGUGAAAUGCGUAGAUAUCGAGAGGAACGCCGGUGGCGAAAGCGACGCACUGGGCCUGACCUGACGCUGAGACGCGAAAGCGUAGGGAGCGAACGGGAUUAGAUACCCCGGUAGUCUACGCCGUAAACGAUGCGCACUAGGUUCGAGGGCUUCUGACAGUCUUCGGGCCGAAACGAAAGCGAUAAGUGCGCCGCCUGGGGAGUACGGCCGCAAGGCUAAAACUUAAAUGAAUUGACGGGG
RNAcentral lists this ribosomal RNA (415 nucleotides) under uncultured prokaryote. RNAcentral describes it as "bacterial SSU rRNA". It matches the Rfam family "Bacterial small subunit ribosomal RNA", at positions 505 to 918 of the family's 1533-position model. The record is from RNAcentral.